Molecule: ribosomal RNA, 253 nt
Filed under: uncultured bacterium
Lineage: Bacteria
Description: partial 16S ribosomal RNA
Rfam family: Bacterial small subunit ribosomal RNA
Source: RNAcentral
UACGUAGGGUGCAAGCGUUGUCCGGAAUUAUUGGGCGUAAAGAGCUCGUAGGCGGUUUGUCGCGUCUGCUGUGAAAACUCGGGGCUUAACUCCGGGCCUGCAGUCGAUACGGGCAGGCUAGAGUUCGGUAGGGGAGACUGGAAGUCCUGGUGUAGCGGUGAAAUGCGCAGAUAUCAGGAGGAACACCGGUGGCGAAGGCGGGUCUCGGGGCCGAUACUGACGCUGAGGAGCGAAAGCGUGGGGAGCGAACAGG